GACGAACGCUGGCGGCGUGCUUAACACAUGCAAGUCGAACGGAAAGGCCCUGCUUUUGUGGGGUGCUCGAGUGGCGAACGGGUGAGUAACACGUGAGUAACCUGCCCUUGACUUUGGGAUAACUUCAGGAAACUGGGGCUAAUACCGGAUAGGAGCUCCUGCUGCAUGGUGGGGGUUGGAAAGUUUCGGCGGUUGGGGAUGGACGGGCGGCUUAUCAGCUUGUUGGUGGGGUAGUGGCUUACCAAGGCUUUGACGGGUAGCCGGCCUGAGAGGGUGACCGGCCACAUUGGGACUGAGAUACGGCCCAGACUCCUACGGGAGGCAGCAGGGGGGAAUAUUGCACAAUGGGCGGAAGCCUGAUGCAGCAACGCCGCGUGCGGGAUGACGGCCUUCGGGUUGUAAACCGCUUUCGCCUGUGACGAAGCGUGAGUGACGGUAAUGGGUAAAGAAGCACCGGCUAACUACGUG
RNAcentral lists this ribosomal RNA (468 nucleotides) under uncultured bacterium. RNAcentral describes it as "partial 16S ribosomal RNA". It matches the Rfam family "Bacterial small subunit ribosomal RNA", at positions 28 to 507 of the family's 1533-position model. The record is from RNAcentral.